Molecule: ribosomal RNA, 444 nt
Filed under: uncultured bacterium
Lineage: Bacteria
Description: bacterial SSU rRNA
Rfam family: Bacterial small subunit ribosomal RNA
Source: RNAcentral
GACGAACGCUGGCGGCGUGCUUAACACAUGCAAGUCGAACGAUGAACCACUUCGGUGGGGAUUAGUGGCGAACGGGUGAGUAACACGUGGGCAAUCUGCCCUUCACUCUGGGACAAGCCCUGGAAACGGGGUCUAAUACCGGAUAACACUGCCACGGGCAUCUGUGGUGGUUAAAAGCUCCGGCGGUGAAGGAUGAGCCCGCGGCCUAUCAGCUUGUUGGUGAGGUAAUGGCNCACCAAGGCGACGACGGGUAGCCGGCCUGAGAGGGCGACCGGCCACACUGGGACUGAGACACGGCCCAGACUCCUACGGGAGGCAGCAGUGGGGAAUUUUGCGCAAUGGGGGAAACCCUGACGCAGCAACGCCGCGUGGAGGAUGAAAUCCCUUGGGAUGUAAACCCCUUUCGAUCGGGAAGAUAAUGACGGUACCGAGAGAAGAAGCCCC